CAGAUUCAGAAUAUAGUACACUAGCAGAUAUUUUCUUUGAUACAAAAUUAAGGAUCCAAGAAAUAACAAUAUUAUUGUUACGGAUCCAGGAAUUAAGUAGCUCAGUGUUACCUUUAGGCCAAGCGAUUGAUCCAUCCACAAAAUCGAACUUAUUCUUCAAUGAUAAUGCUAUGGUCAUGGCUCGAUUCCAGGCAGCAUAAUUCUCGCUUGUUAGUUGC
RNAcentral lists this long non-coding RNA (218 nucleotides) under Olea europaea (common olive). RNAcentral describes it as "long non-coding RNA (OEUR_LNC005287)". Lineage: Eukaryota; Viridiplantae; Streptophyta; Magnoliopsida; Lamiales; Oleaceae. The record is from RNAcentral.